AUUGAACGCUGGCGGCAUGCCUUACACAUGCAAGUCGAACGGUAACAGGUCUUCGGAUGCUGACGAGUGGCGAACGGGUGAGUAAUACAUCGGAACGUGCCUAGUAGUGGGGGAUAACUACUCGAAAGAGUGGCUAAUACCGCAUGAGAUCUACGGAUGAAAGCAGGGGAUCGCAAGACCUUGUGCUACUAGAGCGGCCGAUGGCAGAUUAGGUAGUUGGUGGGAUAAAAGCUUACCAAGCCGACGAUCUGUAGCUGGUCUGAGAGGACGAUCAGCCAUACUGGGACUGAGACACGGCCCAGACUCCUACGGGAGGCAGUAGUGGGGAAUUUUGGACAAUGGGCGAAAGCCUGAUCCAGCAAUGCCGCGUGCAGGAUGAAGGCCUUCGGGUUGUAAACUGCUUUUGUACGGAACGAAAAGCCCCGGGUUAAUACCCUGGGGUCAUGACGGUACCGUAAGAAUAAGCACCGGCUAACUACGUGCCAGCCGCCGCAGUAA
This 498-nucleotide ribosomal RNA is filed under the name uncultured bacterium. RNAcentral describes it as "partial 16S ribosomal RNA". It matches the Rfam family "Bacterial small subunit ribosomal RNA", at positions 30 to 523 of the family's 1533-position model. The record is from RNAcentral.